This 406-nucleotide ribosomal RNA is filed under the name uncultured bacterium. RNAcentral's name for it is "partial 16S ribosomal RNA". It matches the Rfam family "Bacterial small subunit ribosomal RNA", at positions 30 to 526 of the family's 1533-position model. The record is from RNAcentral.
AUUGAACGCUGGCGGCAGGCUUAACAAAUGCAAGUCGAGCGAGCCGCGGACGUGUUAGUAAUGUCUGGGACACUGCCUGAUGGAGGGGGAUAACUACUGGAAACGGUUGCUAAUACCGCAUAGCAUCAGCUGAGACCAGAUGGGAUUAGCUAGUAGGGUGUGUAAUGGCUCACCUAGGCGACGAUCCCUAGCUGGUCUGAGAGUAUGACCAGCCAAGCUGGAACUGAGAAACGGUCCAGACGCCGACGGGAGGCAGCAGGGGGUAAUAUUGCACAAGGGGCGAAAGCCUGAGGCAGCCAUGCCGCGUGUGUGAAGAAGGCCUUCGGGUUGUAAAGCACUUUCAGCGAGGAGGCGUUACUCGCAGAAGAAGCACCGGCUAACUCCGUGCCAGCAGCCGCGGUAAUUC